CGCCUGUUUAUCAAAAACAUCUUUUCUUGUUAGUUUUUGAAGUAUGGCCUGCCCGCUGAUUUUAGGUUGAAGGGCCGCGGUAUUUUGACCGUGCAAAGGUAGCAUAAUCAUUAGUUCUUUAAUUGUGAUCUGGUAUGAAUGGCUUGACGAGGCAUGGGCUGUCUUGGAUUGGGAUUGUUUAUUGAAUUUGGUUUUUGAGUUAGAAUUCUUAAAUGUUUUUAUGGGACGAGAAGACCCUAUAGAGUUUAACAUUUAUUUGUAUAGCUUGUUUUGGUUUGUUUUGUAGUUGCUUUGUGUUAAUGUUUUGUUGGGGUGAUGGGAAGAAUUUUCUUAACUCUUCUUUGUUUUGGUAUAUUGAUUUAUAUUGGUUUUGAUCCAUUUAUUUUGAUUAUAAGAUUAAAUUACCUUAGGGAUAACAGCGUAAA
RNAcentral lists this ribosomal RNA (425 nucleotides) under Macrotermes gilvus. Its description in RNAcentral is "partial 16S ribosomal RNA". The stretch from base 1 to 174 matches the Rfam family "Bacterial large subunit ribosomal RNA", at positions 1797 to 2031 of the family's 2925-position model. Lineage: Eukaryota; Metazoa; Arthropoda; Insecta; Blattodea; Termitidae. The record is from RNAcentral.